Long non-coding RNA from Bos taurus (domestic cattle), 866 nucleotides. The record is from Ensembl. NCBI's taxonomy places the organism in Eukaryota, Metazoa, Chordata, Mammalia, Artiodactyla, Bovidae.
UUCACCAUUAGCUGCUCUGAAUUUGGGAGGCUUUCUGUAAUCACAGGGCAUCUUACAAUUACUGUCGGCCAGGCAGCUGCCUUUAAGUAUGUCAUCAACUGCGACUGUGCUGAGCAGAGCUAUGAAAUAGGAGCGGGGCAGGUGCACAGCCGUUAUCGCGAGAGUAUUAGCAGGAAACCCGGAAAGCGACCGUUAGAGAUCCCGCUGUGCCAAUGGUCAGCCUAGCAGUGGUGGGACUCGCGGCAGAAAGUGUGGUGAGAGGCAGAUUACAGCCUUCUCCCCGGGGCCCUCCAGGUGCUCUGGCCUCAGGCCAGCAGGUGAACUGGGGGGCCGUGGGGACAGGCCAGGGGCUGUGUCUCUCACACGGCUGCCUGUUGGUCGGGUCCAAGCCUGGAAGUGACCGUGAACCUCUUCCCGCUCCUCGCCUGCGAGACUUGAUGGCGACGUUAGUCGUCUCCACUGGUCUCCGUCCACAGAAGCCCCAGCAGCUGAAGGAUACACACACUGCCAUUCAGAUGCUGUGGUGCACAAACGUUACUCUGGUCCAUGUUCUCUUGCUCACUGCUGCCUCGUUGACAUGAAGAGAUGGUCAGGCGCAUCCUCCUGUGACCUGUCUUCAGUGACCUACCCUGGAAAUGAACUUGAAGCAGAGAGAGCAGAAAAUGCAGAAGACAUUAGCACCUGGACAGACUGUUGCCUGUUUACUUCUCAGAUCUGGGCAGCGUUCCAGGGUAUCAGCGCAUGCUGCCUGUCUCCAGGAUGACUUCAUGUCAUACUGUUGGUUUUCACGAGCCAUGAAGGACACGAGUCCAGGUCACAGAUGGCUGGUCCCAGCGAGUCAUGCUUUCAGUUCCAAGAUCUUGCUC